This 393-nucleotide ribosomal RNA is filed under the name uncultured bacterium. RNAcentral describes it as "partial 16S ribosomal RNA". It matches the Rfam family "Bacterial small subunit ribosomal RNA", at positions 523 to 918 of the family's 1533-position model. The record is from RNAcentral.
AUACGGAGGAUCCGAGCGUUAUCCGGAUUUAUUGGGUUUAAAGGGAGCGUAGGCGGACGCUUAAGUCAGUUGUGAAAGGUUGCGGCUCAACCGUAAAAUUGCAGUUGCUACUGGGUGCCUUGAGUACAGUAGAGGUGGGUGGUAUUCGAGGUGUAGCGGUGAAAUGCUUAGAUAUCACGAAGAACUCCGAUUGCGAAGGCAGCUCACUGGACUGCAACUGACACUGAUGCUCGAAAGUGUGGGUAUCAAACAGGAUUAGAUACCCUGGUAGUCCACACAGUAAACGAUGAAUACUCGCUGUUUGCGAUAUACAGUAAGCGGCCAAGCGAAAGCAUUAAGUAUUCCACCUGGGGAGUACGCCGGCAACGGUGAAACUCAAAUGAAUUGGCGGGG